CCGAGUGUCGGCCCCUCCGGGGCCACCCUCCCACCCGUGUCUACCGUCCCUUGUUGCUUCGGCGGGCCCGCCCCUUGGGGGCUGCCGGGGGGCCUCGUGCCCCCGGGCUCCCGCCGGAGACGUCCACACGAACCCUGUCUGAAGGUUGCCGUCUGAGUGUUGAUGCAAUCGUCA
This 174-nucleotide unclassified non-coding RNA is filed under the name uncultured Trichocomaceae. Its description in RNAcentral is "sequence contains ITS1". The record is from RNAcentral. Lineage: Eukaryota; Fungi; Ascomycota; Eurotiomycetes; Eurotiales; Trichocomaceae.